RNAcentral lists this ribosomal RNA (490 nucleotides) under uncultured bacterium. Its description in RNAcentral is "partial 16S ribosomal RNA". It matches the Rfam family "Bacterial small subunit ribosomal RNA", at positions 30 to 507 of the family's 1533-position model. The record is from RNAcentral.
AUUGAACGCUGGCGGCAGGCCUAACACAUGCAAGUCGAACGGUAACAGGGAUCAGCUUGCUGAUUCGCUGACGAGUGGCGGACGGGUGGGUAAUGUCUGGGAAACUGCCUGAUGGAGGGGGAUAACUACUGGAAACGGUAGCUAAUACCGCAUAACGUCGCAAGACCAAAGAGGGGGACCUUCGGGCCUCUUGCCAUCGGAUGUGCCCAGAUGGGAUUAGCUAGUAGGUGGGGUAACGGCUCACCUAGGCGACGAUCCCUAGCUGGUCUGAGAGGAUGACCAGCCACACUGGAACUGAGACACGGUCCAGACUCCUACGGGAGGCAGCAGUGGGGAAUAUUGCACAAUGGGCGCAAGCCUGAUGCAGCCAUGCCGCGUGUAUGAAGAAGGCCUUCGGGUUGUAAAGUACUUUCAGCGGGGAGGAAGGGAGUAAAGUUAAUACCUUUGCUCAUUGACGUUACCCGCAGAAGAAGCACCGGCUAACUCCGUG